GGUGAUCGGCCACACUGGAACUGAGACACGGUCCAGACUCCUACGGGAGGCAGCAGUAGGGAAUCUUCCGCAAUGGGCGAAAGCCUGACGGAGCAACGCCGCGUGAGUGAUGAAGGUCUUCGGAUCGUAAAACUCUGUUAUUAGGGAAGAACAUAUGUGUAAGUAACUGUGCACAUCUUGACGGUACCUAAUCAGAAAGCCACGGCUAACUACGUGCCAGCAGCCGCGGUAAUACGUAGGUGGCAAGCGUUAUCCGGAAUUAUUGGGCGUAAAGCGCGCGUAGGCGGUUUUUUAAGUCUGAUGUGAAAGCCCACGGCUCAACCGUGGAGGGUCAUUGGAAACUGGAAAACUUGAGUGCAGAAGAGGAAAGUGGAAUUCCAUGUGUAGCGGUGAAAUGCGCAGAGAUAUGGAGGAACACCAGUGGCGAAGGCGACUUUCUGGUCUGUAACUGACGCUGAUGUGCGAAAGCGUGGGGAUCAAACAGGAUUAGAUACCCUGGUAGUCCACGCCGUAAACGAUGAGUGCUAAGUGUUAGGGGGUUUCCGCCCCUUAGUGCUGCAGCUAACGCAUAAGCACUCCGCCUGGGAGUACGACCGC
Molecule: ribosomal RNA, 597 nt
Filed under: Staphylococcus sp. Drenje 1.6
Lineage: Bacteria; Bacillati; Bacillota; Bacilli; Caryophanales; Staphylococcaceae
Description: bacterial SSU rRNA
Rfam family: Bacterial small subunit ribosomal RNA
Source: RNAcentral